Molecule: ribosomal RNA, 286 nt
Filed under: uncultured Acholeplasma sp.
Lineage: Bacteria; Bacillati; Mycoplasmatota; Mollicutes; Acholeplasmatales; Acholeplasmataceae
Description: partial 16S ribosomal RNA
Rfam family: Bacterial small subunit ribosomal RNA
Source: RNAcentral
AGCGCAACCCUUAUUGCUAGUUACCAUCAUUAAGUUGGGGAACGUCUAGCGAGACUGCCAGUGAUAAACUGGAGGAAGGUGGGGAUGACGUCAAAUCAUCAUGCCCCUUAUGACCUGGGCUACAAACGUGAUACAAUGGCUGAAACAAAGGGCAGCGAAGCGGUGACGUGGAGCGAACCCAAAAAGCAGUCUCAGUUCGGAUUGAAGUCUGCAACUCGACUUCAUGAAGUUGGAAUCGCUAGUAAUCGCAGAUCAGAACGCUGCGGUGAAUACGUUCUCGGGGUUU